Molecule: ribosomal RNA, 505 nt
Filed under: uncultured Geobacter sp.
Lineage: Bacteria; Pseudomonadati; Thermodesulfobacteriota; Desulfuromonadia; Geobacterales; Geobacteraceae
Description: bacterial SSU rRNA
Rfam family: Bacterial small subunit ribosomal RNA
Source: RNAcentral
ACUCCUACGGGAGGCAGCAGUGGGGAAUUUUGCGCAAUGGGCGAAAGCCUGACGCAGCAACGCCGCGUGAGUGAUGAAGGCCCUUGGGUCGUAAAGCUCUGACAGAGGGAAAGAAAUGCAGGGGAGCUAAUAUCUCCUUUGCUUGACGGUACCCUCAAAGGAAGCACCGGCUAACUCCGUGCCAGCAGCCGCGGUAAUACGGGGGGUGCAAGCGUUGUUCGGAUUUAUUGGGCGUAAAGCGCGUGUAGGCGGUUUGGUAAGUCUGAUGUGAAAGCCCUGGGCUCAACCCGGGAAGUGCAUUGGAUACUGGCAAACUUGAAUACGGGAGAGGGUAGUGGAAUUCCUGGUGUAGGAGUGAAAUCCGUAGAUAUCAGGAGGAACACCGGUGGCGAAGGCGGCUACCUGGACCGAUAUUGACGCUGAGACGCGAAAGCGUGGGUAGCAAACAGGAUUAGAUACCCUGGUAGUCCACGCCGUAAACGAUGAGAACUAGGUGUCGCGGGUA